GUAGCUCAGUUGGUAGAGUGCUUGCCUAGCAUGCAUGAAGUUCUGGGUUCAAUCCUCAGC
This 60-nucleotide transfer RNA is filed under the name Neotoma lepida (desert woodrat). It matches the Rfam family "tRNA", at positions 7 to 64 of the family's 71-position model. Rfam says of the family: Transfer RNA (tRNA) molecules are approximately 80 nucleotides in length. Lineage: Eukaryota; Metazoa; Chordata; Mammalia; Rodentia; Cricetidae. The record is from Rfam by way of RNAcentral.